UUAUGUGAUAACUGGUGUGAAUUGCAGAAUCCCGUGAACCAUCGAGUCUUUGAACGCAAGUUGCGCCCGAAGCCCUUAGGCUGAGGGCACGCCUGCCUGGGUGUCACCAAAAGGCGCCCCCCCGUCUCGCCCGUCCCAGGGCACGGGGAGGGGGCGAACGUUGGCCUCCCGGGAGCCCCUGGCUCGCGGUUGGUUCAAAGAGACGGGCUCUUGGUGGGGAGCGGCACCGCGGCAGAUGGUGGUCGAGAACAACCCUCGUGGCCAGUCGCGCGCGCCUCUCCCCCGGUUCAAGGCACGGCGACCCGCGGGCGACGUGGAUCGUCCCGAGCGCGACCUCAGGUCAGGCGGGGCUACCCGCUGAGUUUAAGCAUAUCAAUAAGCGGAGGAAAAGAAACUAACGAGGAUUCCCCUAGUAACGGCGAGCGAACCGGGAAGAGCCCAGCAUGAAAAUCGGUCGCCCCUGGCGUCUGAAUUGUAGUCUGGAAAAAGCGUCAA
RNAcentral lists this ribosomal RNA (495 nucleotides) under Arachis hypogaea (peanut). RNAcentral's name for it is "eukaryotic LSU rRNA". The stretch from base 331 to 495 matches the Rfam family "Eukaryotic large subunit ribosomal RNA", at positions 1 to 165 of the family's 3401-position model. Lineage: Eukaryota; Viridiplantae; Streptophyta; Magnoliopsida; Fabales; Fabaceae. The record is from RNAcentral.